ACUGUGAACAGCUGCUUGAAUGAAUGGAUGAGGAGAAGGCAAAUAAGAAAAAUACUACGCGUGGGUGAAGAAGAAGAACCCAAAAAAAACUCAAUGAAACAACGAGGUUCUGGUGGAUCUCUAUGGUCGUAUAAGGGGAUUUUAAAUAAGAUGGCGGAUCGAAGCAGAAUGAAAUGGUUUUAUUCCAGACGGGCCAGUGGACUAGGGAUUAAGCUAAUAAAAUUCAAUUGGACCUGCGAUUUGGACUUGGUUUGCUGCUUCCGUUCCGGAAAGGUUAGAAAUUCAGAUGGGACCUGGACCGGAAGACUGAAGGCGGUGUAUGGAGCCAAUUAUUAUUCUAAAAACCUAAGUUUUAAUCAUCCUAUUUUGGUUCCUGAAGAACUAGAACUGUAAGAUCGAGAGGAAAAUUUCUUAAGUCAACGAAAUUUUAAUCGUCCAUUUUUACCAUUUCGCGGGUUUUGUCGGGUUUGGCAAUUGGCCACAAAUGAUCGGACCUGAACAUUCUGGUUGGGCCAGUAGAAAUAUUCCCUUAACCUUCGGAGCGUUUUACCAAAACCUCCAUGAGCGGCUUGAGGCGGAUGGUGGCACUUCGCAAUUACUUCUUGAGUAAGCUCUAGUGGAACCCAAACUUCCAGGCAAAAUCUUCGUUUAGCGGCACCCCGUCAUAUGGGAGGACCCGCUUAUAAACCAGGUCAUUCACGACCUUCAAAUCAGGCAGGCUUUCAGAGUUUUCCUUGAUUUUGGCGAUUAAGUCCAGGUAACUUUGACCUUUGAAAUACUCAGACUCUAAAUUUAUUAAAUUAUUUACCUCCACAGAUACUUCCUCCAUGUCAUACUUCGACAAGGUGUCGGGAACGAUAUUUUUGGAUCCGGGCCGGCGUUCGAUGGAAAAUGUAAAGGCCUGUAGAUGUAAGCUCCAUCGGGCUAGUCUGCCCGUAGUUCUUCUGUGCACUGGUCAAUUUGUGAGAGAUGAACGCCACCGGAUACUCGCCGUUGUUUUCGUCCUUCUGGAAGAGAACUGCUCCCAAACCUAUGUCUGAUGCAUCGCAUUGGACAUAAAAGUGCCUGUUGAAAUCGGGAUGCAUAAGCACUGGUGCUGUUGUGAGGGCGGACUUUAGCUUGGCGAAGGCUUCCUUAGCUUCGUCCGGAAAGUUGAAACCUUUCCCUUUCUUAAGGGUGUUAAAAAUAGCUCCCAUGUAGCUUCGGACCUGUUUGGCGGUUUUCGGGUACUUCAACUCUUUGAAGCAAAAUUUCGACUUCCCUACGUUGAUGGUCAGACACGCCGAAUUCAGGCAAUGCGCUACCCGAUCCAGCAAUUCCAGGUGAGUUUUAAAGUCUGGAGAUAUGAUCAAAAGUUCAUCUAGAUAGACGAAAACUCUAUCACGAAGUGCUGAAGGGAUCACUUUGUCCAUCAGACGACAUAACCUUUGGGCUGCGUUUAGGGUUGCUAGCCUGGCUGGACUUGGCUGGAUUGUCCAGCUUUUUUGGUGCUAAUCCAGUUUCAAGCUAAAAUUUAAUUUGUCCAGCCAAAUAGAAAUUUUUUAGUAUACUACAAUAAC
RNAcentral lists this unclassified non-coding RNA (1559 nucleotides) under Lucilia cuprina (Australian sheep blowfly). RNAcentral's name for it is "uncharacterized LOC124421349, transcript variant X2". Lineage: Eukaryota; Metazoa; Arthropoda; Insecta; Diptera; Calliphoridae. The record is from RNAcentral.